Molecule: ribosomal RNA, 407 nt
Filed under: uncultured bacterium
Lineage: Bacteria
Description: partial 16S ribosomal RNA
Rfam family: Bacterial small subunit ribosomal RNA
Source: RNAcentral
AUUGAACGCUGGCGGCAGGCCUAACACAUGCAAGUCGAGCGGAGCGGCGGACGGGUGAGUAAUGCCUAGGAAUCUGCCUGGUAGUGGGGGAUAACGUCCGGAAACGGGCGCUAAUACCGCAUACUAUCUGAUGAGCAUAGGCAGGUGUAGCUAGUUGGUGGGGUAAAGGCCUACCAAGGCGACGAUCCGUAACUGGUCUGAGAGGAGGAUCAGUCACACUGGAACUGAGACACGGUCCAGACUCCUACGGGAGGCAGCAGUGGGGAAUAUUGCACAAUGGGCGCAAGCCUGAUGCAGCCAUGCCGCGUGUAUGAAGAAGGCAUUCGGGUUGUAAAGUACUUGCAGCGGGGAGGCGUUACCCGCAGAAGAAGCACCGGCUAACUCCGUGCCAGCAGCCGCGGUAAUAC